RNAcentral lists this unclassified non-coding RNA (363 nucleotides) under uncultured bacterium. Its description in RNAcentral is "contains 16S-23S intergenic spacer region". The record is from RNAcentral.
UCCCCGUUACCGGGGCAGUCCACGUAGAAAAAUACAACUACGUGCAAGGGUUGCGCUCGUUGAUGGACUUAACCAAACAUCUCACGACACGAGCUGACGACGGCCAUGCAACACCUGUCACCUUGUUCAAUAAAGCACUCUCGCCUUUCGGCAAAAUUCAAGGGAUGUCAAGCCCUGGUAAGGUUCUUCGUUUAUCUUCGAAUUAAAGAACACGAUCCACCGCUUGUGCGGGUCCCCGUCAAUUCCUUUAUGUUUUAGUCUUGCGACCGUACUCCACAGGCGGGAUACUUAACGCGUUAGCUUCGCUACUGAAGGGGUCGAUACCUCCAACAGCUAGUAUCCAUCGUUUACGGCGUGGACUAC